UGGGGAAUAUUGCACAAUGGGCGCAAGCCUGAUGCAGCCAUGCCGCGUGUAUGAAGAAGGCCUUCGGGUUGUAAAGUACUUUCAGCGGGGAGGAAGGGAGUAAAGUUAAUACCUUUGCUCAUUGACGUUACCCGCAGAAGAAGCACCGGCUAACUUCGUGCCAGCAGCCGCGGUAAUACGGAGGGUGCAAGCGUUAAUCGGAAUUACUGGGCGUAAAGCGCACGCAGGCGGUUUGUUAAGUCAGAUGUGAAAUCCCCGGGCUCAACCUGGGAACUGCAUCCGAUACUGCUAAGCUUGAGUCUCGUAGAGGAGGGUAGAAUUCCAGGUGUAGCGGUGAAGUGCGUAGAGAUCUGGAGGAAUACCGGUGGCGAAGGCGGCCCCCUGGACAAAGACUGACGCUCAGGUGCGAAAGCGUGGGGAGCAAACAGG
RNAcentral lists this ribosomal RNA (429 nucleotides) under Chloroflexota bacterium. RNAcentral describes it as "Chloroflexi bacterium partial 16S ribosomal RNA". It matches the Rfam family "Bacterial small subunit ribosomal RNA", at positions 355 to 776 of the family's 1533-position model. The record is from RNAcentral. Lineage: Bacteria; Bacillati; Chloroflexota.